ACGCUAGCGAUAGGCUUAACACAUGCAAGUCGAGGGGCAGCAUGGUCUUAGCUUGCUAAGACUGAUGGCGACCGGCGCACGGGUGCGUAACGCGUAUGCAACUUGCCUCACAGAGGGGGAUAACCCGUCGAAAGACGGACUAAUACCGCGUACACUCCACUUUGGGCAUCCAAAGUAGAGGAAAUGAAAUUCGCUGUGAGAUAGGCAUGCGUCCCAUUAGCUAGUUGGUGAGGUAACGGCUCACCAAGGCGACGAUGGGUAGGGGAACUGAGAGGUUGAACCCCCACACUGGUACUGAGACACGGACCAGACUCCUACGGGAGGCAGCAGUGGGGAAUAUUGGUCGAUGGGCGAGAGCCUGAACCAGCCAAGUCGCGUGAAGGAUGACUGUCUUAUGGAUUGUAAACUUCUUUUAUACGGGAAUAACAAGAGCCACGUGUGGCUCCCUGCAUGUACCGUAUGAAUAAGCAUCGGCUAACUCCGUGCCAGCAGCCGCGGUAAUACGGAGGAUGCGAGCGUUAUCCGGAUUUAUUGGGUUUAAAGGGUGCGUAGGCGGCCUGUUAAGUCAGCGGUGAAAUCUAGGAGCUUAACUCCUAAAUUGCCAUUGAUACUGGCGGGCUUGAGUGUAGAUGAGGUAGGCGGAAUGCGUGGUGUAGCGGUGGAAUGCAUAGAUAUCACGCAGAACUCCGAUUGCGAAGGCAGCUUACUAAGGUACAACUGACGCUGAAGCACGAAAGCGUGGGUAUCAAACAGGAUUAGAUACCCUGGUAGUCCACGCAGUAAACGAUGAUAACUGGGCGUAUGCGAUAUACAGUAUGCUCCUAAGCGAAAGCGUUAAGUUAUCCACCUGGGGAGUACGCCGGCAACGGUGAAACUCAAAGGAAUUGACGGGGGCCCGCACAAGCGGAGGAACAUGUGGU
RNAcentral lists this ribosomal RNA (920 nucleotides) under uncultured bacterium. RNAcentral's name for it is "bacterial SSU rRNA". It matches the Rfam family "Bacterial small subunit ribosomal RNA", at positions 33 to 945 of the family's 1533-position model. The record is from RNAcentral.